GACGAACGCUGGCGGCGUGCCUAAUACAUGCAAGUCGCACGAGAGCGACCGGUGCUUGCACUGUUCACUCUAGCGGCGGACGGGUGGGUAACACGUGGGUAACCUGCCCACCAGAGGGGGAUAACAUCCGGGACCGGAUGCUAACACCGCCUAGGUCUUCUAGCCGCAUGGCUUGCAGAUGAAACGAGGCGCAAGCCUCUGCUGAUGGAGGGACCGGCGGUGCAUUAGCACGUUGGGGUGGCAACGCCUCACCAAGGCCGUGAUGCAGAGCCGACCUGAGAUGAGGAGCAGCCACACUGCAACGGAGCCGCGGCACGAACUCCUAUGGGAGGCAGCAGUGGAGAAUCUUCCGCUAUUGACGCAAGGCUGACGGAGCACCGCCGCGUGAGUGAAAAAGGUUUUCGGAUCGUAGUACUCUGUUGUUAGUGAGGAGCGAGUGCGAGGGUAACUGUUAGCGCCUUGACGGUACCGAACCAAUAAGCCACGGCUAACUACGUG
Molecule: ribosomal RNA, 498 nt
Filed under: uncultured bacterium
Lineage: Bacteria
Description: partial 16S ribosomal RNA
Rfam family: Bacterial small subunit ribosomal RNA
Source: RNAcentral